AAAUAAGUAAGCUAAAUUAAGCUUUUAGACUCAUACUCUAAAUAUAAAUGAUCAUACAUUUCUUAUUUA
RNAcentral lists this transfer RNA (69 nucleotides) under Pristomyrmex punctatus. Its description in RNAcentral is "tRNA-Met". The record is from RNAcentral. Lineage: Eukaryota; Metazoa; Arthropoda; Insecta; Hymenoptera; Formicidae.